AACAGGAUUAGAUACCCUGGUAGUCCACGCCGUAAACGAUGUCGACUUGGAGGCUGUUCCCUUGAGGAGUGGCUUCCGGAGCUAACGCGUUAAGUCGACCGCCUGGGGAGUACGGCCGCAAGGUUAAAACUCAAAUGAAUUGACGGGGGCCCGCACAAGCGGUGGAGCAUGUGGUUUAAUUCGAUGCAACGCGAAGAACCUUACCUACUCUUGACAUCCAGAGAAUUUAGCAGAGAUGCCUUAGUGCCUUCGGGAACCGUGAGACAGGUGCUGCAUGGCUGUCGUCAGCUCGUGUUGUGAAAUGUUGGGUUAAGUCCCGCAACGAGCGCAACCCUUAUCCUUUGUUGCCAGCGAUUCGGUCGGGAACUCAAAGGAGACUGCCGGUGAUAAACCGGAGGAAGGUGGGGGUGACGUCAAGUCAUCAUGGCCCUUACGAGUAGGGCUACACACGUGCUACAAUGGCGCAUACAAAGAGAAGCGACCUCGCGAGAGCAAGCGGACCUCACAAAGUGCGUCGUAGUCCGGAUCGGAGUCUGCAACUCGACUCCGUGAAGUCGGAAUCGCUAGUAAUCGUGGAUCAGAAUGCCACGGUGAAUACGUUCCCGGGCCUUGUACACACCGCCCGUCACACCAUGGGAGUGGGUUGCAAAAGAAGUAGGUAGCUUAACCUUCGGGAGGGCGCUUACCACUUUGUGAUUCAUGACUGGGGUGAAGUCGUAACAAGGUAACC
RNAcentral lists this ribosomal RNA (730 nucleotides) under uncultured bacterium. RNAcentral's name for it is "bacterial SSU rRNA". It matches the Rfam family "Bacterial small subunit ribosomal RNA", at positions 771 to 1501 of the family's 1533-position model. The record is from RNAcentral.